GUGAGUAACACGUGGGCAAUCUGCCCUUCACUCUGGGACAAGCCCUGGAAACGGGGUCUAAUACCGGAUAAUACUUCCACUCUCCUGGGUGGUUGUUGAAAGCUCCGGCGGUGAAGGAUGAGCCCGCGGCCUAUCAGCUUGUUGGUGAGGUAAUGGCUCACCAAGGCGACGACGGGUAGCCGGCCUGAGAGGGCGACCGGCCACACUGGGACUGAGACACGGCCCAGACUCCUACGGGAGGCAGCAGUGGGGAAUAUUGCACAAUGGGCGAAAGCCUGAUGCAGCGACGCCGCGUGAGGGAUGACGGCCUUCGGGUUGUAAACCUCUUUCAGCAGGGAAGAAGCGAAAGUGACGGUACCUGCAGAAGAAGCGCCGGCUAACUACGUGCCAGCAGCCGCGGUAAUACGUAGGGCGCAAGCGUUGUCCGGAAUUAUUGGGCGUAAAGAGCUCGUAGGCGGCUUGUCACGUCGGGUGUGAAAGCCCGGGGCUUAACCCCGGGUCUGCAUUCGAUACGGGCUAGCUAGAGUGUGGUAGGGGAGAUCGGAAUUCCUGGUGUAGCGGUGAAAUGCGCAGAUAUCAGGAGGAACACCGGUGGCGAAGGCGGAUCUCUGGGCCAUUACUGACGCUGAGGAGCGAAAGCGUGGGGAGCGAACAGGAUUAGAUACCCUGGUAGUCCACGCCGUAAACGGUGGGAACUAGGUGUUGGCGACAUUCCACGUCGUCGGUGCCGCAGCUAACGCA
This 741-nucleotide ribosomal RNA is filed under the name Streptomyces sp. RNAcentral describes it as "bacterial SSU rRNA". It matches the Rfam family "Bacterial small subunit ribosomal RNA", at positions 106 to 859 of the family's 1533-position model. Lineage: Bacteria; Bacillati; Actinomycetota; Actinomycetes; Kitasatosporales; Streptomycetaceae. The record is from RNAcentral.